Molecule: unclassified non-coding RNA, 243 nt
Filed under: Hevea brasiliensis (rubber tree)
Lineage: Eukaryota; Viridiplantae; Streptophyta; Magnoliopsida; Malpighiales; Euphorbiaceae
Source: RNAcentral
AAAAUAAAAAAAAUAUUAGUAGUUUUCAUCUAAUUGGGAACCAUGAACCAUUAUGGCAUUGGGUACUGGUUGCUUAGAAAUAGUUGACCAUUUCUUUGGGAAAGUAGGUGUAAAUAGUUUUUAGUUGGUGCAUAUUAUUAACAACUUUAUUGAAUUAGAAUGUAGCUGGCUGCAACUCUAGUUUCACUAUUAACUGAUUUCAAAUUUAUAUUAUAUUAGGGGUUAUUGCAAUGCACCGUGUGG